GCCUUCGUAAAAAUCUGUUCUUUGGCAAUCAUUCAAGUACAUAGUCACAUAAACCGAAAGGCAGAAGAAGCGAGACCACAGCUUUGCCUUCCAGUCAUUGAGAAACUGAGGCUGGGCUUUCAUCAAAGCAGAGAAGAAAUCACCAUGGCGGUUCUCAUCUUGGCACCAGUUCUCGAAGUAUUUGAAAAUCGGAUAACAUAUAAACUUGGGAUUGGUCUUGAGAUGCCUGUAU
RNAcentral lists this unclassified non-coding RNA (232 nucleotides) under Hevea brasiliensis (rubber tree). The record is from RNAcentral. Lineage: Eukaryota; Viridiplantae; Streptophyta; Magnoliopsida; Malpighiales; Euphorbiaceae.